This 22-nucleotide transfer RNA is filed under the name Meloidogyne incognita (southern root-knot nematode). Its description in RNAcentral is "partial tRNA-His". The record is from RNAcentral. Lineage: Eukaryota; Metazoa; Nematoda; Chromadorea; Rhabditida; Meloidogynidae.
AAGCUAUUAAUUUCAAUUGAAU